UAGUGAGAGAAUAGAAGUGAAACAAUCUCACUUGAAUUCAAGGAUCAGAAAAGAAACUAACAAUAACUAGGAUUCCUUGAGUGAUAGCGAGUGAACCGAGAAGACCUCAGACUGAAAAUCCUUCG
Molecule: ribosomal RNA, 125 nt
Filed under: uncultured Ochromonas
Lineage: Eukaryota; Chrysophyceae; Chromulinales; Chromulinaceae
Description: partial Archaeal large subunit ribosomal RNA
Source: RNAcentral